UUUGGUAACUGCAAACAAGCAUGGCUGC
Molecule: non-coding RNA, 28 nt
Filed under: Mus musculus (house mouse)
Lineage: Eukaryota; Metazoa; Chordata; Mammalia; Rodentia; Muridae
Source: RNAcentral